CGGAAUCGAGAGCUCCAAGUGGGCCAUUUUUGGUAAGCAGAACUGGCGAUGCGGGAUGAACCGAAGCCGGGUUACGGUGCCGGACUGCGCGCUAACCAGAUCCACAAAGGGUGUUGGUCGAUUAAGACAGCAGACGGUGGUCAUGGAAGUCGAAAUCCGCUAAGGAGUGUGCACUCACCUGCCGAAUCAACUACCCCGAAAAAUGGAUGGCGCUAAGCGCGCGACCUACACCCGGCCGUCGGGCAAGUGCCAGGCCCCGAUGAGUAGGAGGGGCGCGGCGGUUCGCCGCAAGCCUGUGGCGCGAGCCAGGGCGAGUGCGGCCGUCGUGCAGAUCUUGGUGGUAGUAGCAAAUAUUCAAGUGGAACUUUGAAGGCGAAGAGAGGGAAAGGUUUCCAUGUGAACGGCACUUGCACAUGGGUUAGUCGAUCCUAAAGACGGGGAAAGCCGUCGACGGCGCGCCAGCGCGAGCUUCGAAAGGGAUCGGGUUAACAUUCCUGACCGGGACGUGGCGGCUGACGCAACGUUAGGGAUGUCCGGAGACGUCGGCGGGGGCCUCGGGAAUAGUUAUCUUUUUCUGUUUAACAGCCUGCCACCUGGAAACGGCUCAGCCGGAGGAGGGUCCAGCGGCCGGAGAGCACGCAGAUGCGUGGGUCCGGUGCGCCCCGGCGCCCUUGAAAAUCCGGAGGACCGAGUGCCGACCCGCCCGGUCGUACUCAUAAAACCGCAUCAGGUCUCCAAGGUGAACAGCCUCUGGUCGAUGGAACAUGUAGGCAAGGGAAAGUCGGCAAAAAUGGAUCCGUAACUUCGGGGAAAAGGAUUGCUCUGAGGGCUGGGCACGGGGGUGUCCCAGUCCCGAACCGUCGGCUGUCGGUGGAUUCUGCUCGAGCUGCCUCCGCGGAGAGAGCGGGUCGCGCGUGCCGGCGGGGGACGGACUGGGAACGGCUCCCUCGGGGGCCUUUCCCCGGGCGUCGAACAGCCGACUCAGAACUGGUAACGGACAAGGGAAUCCGACUGUUUAAUUAAAACAAAGCAUUGCGAUGGUCCCUGAGGAUGCUAAACGCAAUGUGUUUCUGCCCAGUGCUCUGAAUGUCAAAGUGAAGAAAUUCAACCAAGCGCGGGUAAACGGCGGGAGUAAACUAAUGACUCUCUUAGGUAGCCAAAUGCCUGUCAUCUAAUUAGUGACGCGCAUAAUGGAAUGAUUAACCGAGAUUCCACGUCCCUGUCUACUAUCCAGCGAAACCACAGCCAAGGGAAGGGCUUGGCACCCUCUUCAUUGAACCUUUUCAUCAUGUCAAGUAUCUGGAUGGGACGGUCUACUACGUCUUUGGGUUUUCUCCUCAUUGUUUCAUCCUCCUCGUUUCUGUAUGCGCUGAAGUCUCUCUGGUUCUUACAUACAUGCAUCUCUGCGUUGUAAGACUGGAAAUGGUGGUGGAAAUCGUUCUUGCUUCUGGUCAGUGGCCAUAUACAUUUUCCUCUACUCCAUCAACUACCUCUUUAUUUGACCUUAAGAGCUUGAGCGGGCCUGUCGCAGAACCCUAUACUUAGGUUAUUCUCUCUUCAUGGUUCUGGCCAUUCAUGCUGGCAACAGGGACGGUUGGGUUCCUUUCUUCAUUCUGGUUCGUGCACUACUUGUUUUCUCGUCUGUGAAGCUGGAUUGAGAAGCAUCAAUCGUGUUCACCAUUAGAGGUUAUAAGCAGAGAUCAUCAAAAAGCUAGAAAAACAGAGGACACUCUAUUUUUAUUGCUUCAGAAAAAUGGUACUUGUUUUUUGGGUUUAUGUUUUUGUUUGUUAGGGAACUUGUUAAAGUCUUAAUAAUAUUAAUUUGU
This 1826-nucleotide ribosomal RNA is filed under the name Nepenthes ampullaria. Its description in RNAcentral is "eukaryotic LSU rRNA". The stretch from base 1 to 1292 matches the Rfam family "Eukaryotic large subunit ribosomal RNA", at positions 1108 to 3401 of the family's 3401-position model. Lineage: Eukaryota; Viridiplantae; Streptophyta; Magnoliopsida; Caryophyllales; Nepenthaceae. The record is from RNAcentral.